Molecule: transfer RNA, 65 nt
Filed under: Rhabdoblatta marginata
Lineage: Eukaryota; Metazoa; Arthropoda; Insecta; Blattodea; Blaberidae
Description: tRNA-Leu
Rfam family: tRNA
About the family: Transfer RNA (tRNA) molecules are approximately 80 nucleotides in length.
Source: RNAcentral
ACUAUUUUGACAGAAAAGUGUAGUAGAUUUAGAAUCUAUAAAUGUAAUUUAAAUUACAAAUAGUA